Molecule: ribosomal RNA, 253 nt
Filed under: uncultured bacterium
Lineage: Bacteria
Description: partial 16S ribosomal RNA
Rfam family: Bacterial small subunit ribosomal RNA
Source: RNAcentral
GACGAACCGUGCGAACGUUGUUCGGAAUCACUGGGCUUAAAGGGCGCGUAGGCGGGUCGCCGCGUCCGGGGUGAAAUCCCACGGCUCAACCGUGGAACGGCCUCGGAUACGGGCGGCCUCGAGGGGGGUAGGGGCAUCUGGAACUGUGAGUGGAGCGGUGAAAUGCGUUGAUAUUCACAGGAACUCCGGUGGCGAAGGCGAGGUGCUGGACCCCUUCUGACGCUGAGGCGCGAAAGCCAGGGGAGCGAACGGG